UACGUAGGGUGCGAGCGUUUGUCCGGAAUUAUUGGGCGUAAAGAGCUUGUAGGUGGCUCGUCGCGUCGGGAGUGAAAACCCGCGGCUUAACCGCGGGCCUGCUUUCGAUACGGGCGGGCUAGAGUUCGGCAGGGGAGACUGGAAUUCCUGGUGUAGCGGUGGAAUGCGCAGAUAUCAGGAGGAACACCGGUGGCGAAGGCGGGUCUCUGGGCCGAUACUGACACUGAGAAGCGAAAGCGUGGGGAGCGAACAGG
Molecule: ribosomal RNA, 254 nt
Filed under: uncultured bacterium
Lineage: Bacteria
Description: partial 16S ribosomal RNA
Rfam family: Bacterial small subunit ribosomal RNA
Source: RNAcentral